GUAUGUAGUGGCAAUCUAGUAGAAUCGAAAAAGAAUCUCAAGAUGUAAUUCACAUGUGAUUCAGUCUCUCUAUCAUGAGUCCUGACUAGAUGGCAGAUCUUAGAUAAAUCGUCAAAUCUCAUCCUCAGUCAUAUGAUAGAUUCAAUUAGCUCAAAUCCAAUUAUGAUCUUCAUGAAAACUCUUUUUCAUUAAUCAUAUUAUUGUAGCCACAGACUCUUGGACUUAGCCUCUCAAAUCCUAUAGGACUACUCCUCUCUAUCAAGAUCAAUAGGUUCCAUCUAAAUGCGCAUCCUACUCCUACA
Molecule: long non-coding RNA, 302 nt
Filed under: Elaeis guineensis (African oil palm)
Lineage: Eukaryota; Viridiplantae; Streptophyta; Magnoliopsida; Arecales; Arecaceae
Description: long non-coding RNA (EGUI_LNC061977)
Source: RNAcentral